AACGAACGCUGGCGGCAGGCCUAACACAUGCAAGUCGAGCGAGGACUUCGGUCCUAGCGGCGGACGGGUGAGUAACGCGUGGGAACGUGCCCUUUGCUUCGGAAUAGCCCUGGGAAACUGGGAGUAAUACCGGAUGAGCCCUUUUGGGGAAAGAUUUAUCGGCGAAGGAUCGGCCCGCGUUGGAUUAGGUUGUUGGUGGGGUAAUGGCCUACCAAGCCGACGAUCCAUAGCUGGUUUGAGAGGAUGAUCAGCCACACUGGGACUGAGACACGGCCCAGACUCCUACGGGAGGCAGCAGUGGGGAAUCUUAGACAAUGGGGGAAACCCUGAUCUAGCCAUGCCGCGUGAGCGAUGAAGGCCUUAGGGUUGUAAAGCUCUUUCAGCUGGGAAGAUAAUGACGGUACCAGCAGAAGAAGCCCCGGCUAACUCCGUG
Molecule: ribosomal RNA, 433 nt
Filed under: uncultured bacterium
Lineage: Bacteria
Description: partial 16S ribosomal RNA
Rfam family: Bacterial small subunit ribosomal RNA
Source: RNAcentral